UACGGGGGGAGCAAGCGUUAUCCGGAUUCACUGGGUUUAAAGGGUGCGUAGGUGGGUUGAUAAGUCAGUGGUGAAAUCCCCGAGCUUAACUUGGGAACUGCCAUUGAUACUAUUGAUCUUGAAUACCGUGGAGGUCAGCGGAAUAUGUCAUGUAGCGGUGAAAUGCUUAGAUAUGACAUAGAACACCAAUUGCGAAGGCAGCUGGCUACGCGAAUAUUGACACUGAUGCACGAAAGCGUGGGGAUCAAACAGG
RNAcentral lists this ribosomal RNA (253 nucleotides) under uncultured bacterium. RNAcentral describes it as "partial 16S ribosomal RNA". It matches the Rfam family "Bacterial small subunit ribosomal RNA", at positions 524 to 776 of the family's 1533-position model. The record is from RNAcentral.